This is a long non-coding RNA of Sphaeramia orbicularis (orbiculate cardinalfish), 123 nucleotides long. RefSeq lists it as uncharacterized. The record is from RefSeq and is a predicted model, not a curated record. The transcript is spliced from 3 exons. NCBI's taxonomy places the organism in Eukaryota, Metazoa, Chordata, Actinopteri, Kurtiformes, Apogonidae.
CAUUUAGGACUGGAUUAGUCUGGAUCAGAGACUCACAUUUAGUAAAGUUUAACCACAUUUAUUCUGAAAGUAUUUGACCUGUAGACCAGUGUAUGAACUCAGAAUAUAGAAAUAAAAUAGUAG